AAGUUCUGGGGUACAUGUGCAGAACAUGCAGGUUUGUUACAUAGAUAUACAUGCACCAUGGUGGAUUGCUGAACCUAUCAACCUAUCAACUAGGUGUUAAG
Long non-coding RNA from Nomascus leucogenys (northern white-cheeked gibbon), 101 nucleotides. RefSeq lists it as uncharacterized. The transcript is spliced from 3 exons. NCBI's taxonomy places the organism in Eukaryota, Metazoa, Chordata, Mammalia, Primates, Hylobatidae. The record is from RefSeq and is a predicted model, not a curated record.